Molecule: long non-coding RNA, 2620 nt
Organism: Salvelinus sp. IW2-2015
Lineage: Eukaryota; Metazoa; Chordata; Actinopteri; Salmoniformes; Salmonidae
Source: RefSeq, a predicted model, not a curated record
AAAUAGCACUUUCAGUAGUGCUCAAAGCAUGCCAUUCCAUGAGCACAGCGUUUAUUUUUCAACUCAAAUCAAUGAGACAUUUUUGUAUUCUUCUAAUGCCUCCUAAGGGGAAAGUAAACUAAAAGUAACUGAAUGUAGUCAGAUUACGUUACUGAGUUUGGGUAAUCCAAAAGUUACGUUACUGAUUACAAUUUCGCACAAAACUAUUUAGGAAAUAAGGAUUGCAUUUGGAAUAUAAUCCCUCAUUUAAUUUUCAAAACAGAUUGGUGGUCUAGAAUUCUUACUCAAAUGGAACUUUGAUGUGGGUAAGAUCCCUAUUAAACUUGCUAACUUUCAUAAACAAGUACUUCUAACUUGGAAACUCAUGUACAACAAUAAUUUCCCCCACAUAGAUAUACAAGAAGUCUAUUUUUCUAGAACAGGUUUGAUAACAGUAUUAUCUGGGUUAAAACAUUAUUGAAUAACGAUGGACAACUAUAUGAUUAUCCAGAAAUCAUGAGAACACACAAUGUUACAUUCACUCCUGGGGAGUUUUAAAUUGUUGUUAGAGCUGUCCCUAAAGGUGCUAUUCUUCUUUUAGGAGAAUAUAACAGUACUCCAAGUGCAACUGUUGAGGAUUUUGUAGCCUCAAUACAGCUAGAAGGCAUUGACAUUUUAAACUAUAAAUGUAAUAACAUGUAUGUAAGAAAACUCUAUCAAGAUGUUACUAUUCCCUCUGCUAGAAUAUACUGGAAUACAGCCCUAUGACAAGUAAACUGGAACAAAGUAUCGUUGUUGUCUGGCAAAUAUUGCAUAUCUAAUAAGAUGAAAGAAGUAUCAUACAAACUCAUUCAUAGAAUCUAACCUGUAAAGACCUUUAUUAUACACAGAUUCAAAAUAGCUAUCGAUAACAAAUGCGUAUUUUGUGGUUGUGACCCAGAGACUCGACCAUUUAUGUUGGGACUGUUCUUAUGUCAGAAGAUUUUGGAGUGAGAAGAUAGUAUUUUAAAAGAAACGACUAUUAAUGUUAAUUUGAAAGACUGAUAUGAUAUUUUAUUUCGAUGUUUUAUUUAGAUUCAAAUGAUAUGGACGAUUUAACUUUCAUUGUUCAUUUGUUUAGUUUUCAUGGCAGAUUCUUUAUCCAUAAAAUAAAGUAGGCAGAGAAGAUAAUUUAAAUAUUACUUUGAAAUGAUCUUUAAGUGUAAAAAAAAUAGAAAAUAAACAAGAAUAAGCUAACUGACUUACGUUGGCUACCUUGCUAGCUACUUCCAGACACAAAUGAGAGAACAGCUCACUGACCGUUUUACUUGCCCUAGCAGAGCUGGUUAGGCUGUGUUUAUGUCAUCCAGGGCAACAAUUUACGCUUUUUUCCAACGUUUACGGACACCGCCCGUAGGUUGUUGAGCGUAAAUUCGUCAGAUAUUCUGCGCUCUCGGACACACAGACGAGAGUGCUCUGAAAUCGGAGUAGAUAGCUAGAGCGAAUUUACCAGACUGAAGGAAUACCUGGAAAGGAAGGCCAGAAUUGGCCAAGCCACCCUGUAAGCAGACCAGUCCCUCACUGAAGCUGAGAGCAUAAGCGGCGCAAACAAAAAGGGAGGCUUCUGAGCGGGAGUCAAGCCAUGGAGGAGUAGCUGGUAGUCCAGGAGAAGUUGAGAGUGGACCAACAGAGGACUUAUGAGGAGAAUAUGAACCAGCUGAUGGAGAGGAAGGACAGAGAAGGUAGAAAUGCCAUAGCAUAGCAUGACAGAGUUCUGCAGGCCAGACUCAAGGAGCAGAAUGACCCUUUCCAGCAAGGGUUUGAUGACAGAGCACAAAUGCAAAGAGAGAUAGAUGCUCUUAAGGAAGCAAAUGCACAAGAGGAAGAGAAUAGGCCUUCAUUUAUGAGCAAGGCUCUGGAUGGCGCUAUGUUGGUUCUCCAGGGAAUAAUUCCCAAAGUAGGAGGAAUGGCCUUAAAUUGGCUGUCAAAGUUGUUCUGAUGAAGGUUCUUGAGAUUGAUUUAAUCAACAUUUAUUGAAGUUAAUGAUUGACUUACUUUAAAUUAAGCACUACAUUUAAGGUUUAAUUUCAUGUUAGCUUAAAGAACCCCCCCACAAAAAAAUAUAUACACCUAUGUUUUAUAAGUAAUUUGCAUGAAAAAUCAUGACACAAAUCAAGCUUUUAGAAGGCAUGCUGAAAAUAUAAGAUUGAAAUAUUUAUUGGUGCCUUUUAUUAUUUACUUGAAGUUGAUUAACUGUUUUUAAUGCACCGGACAUUCUACACUAGAGUGUGUACAGUGGUAUGUUAAUAAAAAGUGUAAUAAUAGCCUUGGCUUUAUUUGUGCUCUUAAUGAAACACAUUUCUGCUCACAGGUCCUGGUUUGAUUAACAAAGAUAAAAUAAUUUUAAAGAAAGUAUGUCAAAGUACUAAACUGUGUAAAACAAGACAAACAACAUGUAGCUUUAAGAACAGUAUCUCAACGAUUCUCUGGACAAGUCAAAUAUAAAGACUGACUGUUUGUUCUGGUUGUACAGUAAACUAAUAAUAACAGAAUACAAAACAGUAAUGACACUAUUACUGCUGACAACAGCCAGAAGCACCUUUAGCCCUUGUUAAACCCUGAUGAAAACCUUUGUGUAUAUGACCAAUAAAAUUUGAUUUUG